RNAcentral lists this ribosomal RNA (300 nucleotides) under uncultured Alcanivoracaceae bacterium. RNAcentral describes it as "bacterial SSU rRNA". It matches the Rfam family "Bacterial small subunit ribosomal RNA", at positions 114 to 415 of the family's 1533-position model. The record is from RNAcentral. Lineage: Bacteria; Pseudomonadati; Pseudomonadota; Gammaproteobacteria; Oceanospirillales; Alcanivoracaceae.
UGCAUAGGAAUUUGCCUCAAAGUGGGGGAUAGCCCGGAGAAAUCCGGAUUAAUACCGCAUGUGCUCUACGGAGGAAAGCGGGCCUCUAUUUAUAAGCUCGCGCUUUGAGAUAAGCCCUAUGUCGGAUUAGCUUGUUGGUAGGGUAAAGCCUACCAAGCCGACGAUCCCUAGCUGGUCUGAGAGGAUGAUCAGCCACACUGGAACUGAGACACGGUCCAGACUCCUACGGGAGGCAGCAGUGGGGAAUAUUGCACAAUGGGGGAAACCCUGAUGCAGCCAUGCCGCGUGUGUGAAGAAGGC